UCAGCCCUCAAGCCCUCGGCUUGGUUUUGGACUCUUUGGCCCGGGUGUCUGACACCCUCAGGGCCGGUCCCAAAGGCAAUGGCGGGCACGGUUCACCCCCCGGUACAAUGAGCUUUUUCAAAGCACGUAUCGCGGCGGGCGGCCGGGCCCCGGUCUUACCACUAUUUUAUCAA
RNAcentral lists this unclassified non-coding RNA (173 nucleotides) under uncultured Ascomycota. Its description in RNAcentral is "sequence contains ITS2". Lineage: Eukaryota; Fungi; Ascomycota. The record is from RNAcentral.